CACAACCCCCAGCUGCAUGUACGAGCGGCGUUGCCACUGCCGCAGCCACCGGCGCAGCGUGCACGCUUCCUGCCGCCGGUCUCUGUCGUCGUCCGGACGUCCUCGUCGUCCUCCCCAGCCGCGGCCUUCGCGCGCAGCUGGUGGUGAGGAUGGUGGAGCUGGCUGCCAGCGGCAGCUGCAGCGGCACAGCCGCCGCCGCUGCUACCGCCAACGGAGCCGGCGCGAGUACUGCUCGUCG
RNAcentral lists this long non-coding RNA (238 nucleotides) under Volvox carteri. RNAcentral describes it as "long non-coding RNA (VCAR_LNC001268)". The record is from RNAcentral. Lineage: Eukaryota; Viridiplantae; Chlorophyta; Chlorophyceae; Chlamydomonadales; Volvocaceae.